Molecule: ribosomal RNA, 468 nt
Filed under: uncultured bacterium
Lineage: Bacteria
Description: partial 16S ribosomal RNA
Rfam family: Bacterial small subunit ribosomal RNA
Source: RNAcentral
GACGAACGCUGGCGGCGUGCUUAACACAUGCAAGUCGAACGGAAAGGCCCUGCUUUUGUGGGGUGCUCGAGUGGCGAACGGGUGAGUAACACGUGAGUAACCUGCCCUUGACAUUGGGAUAAAUUCAGGAAACUGGGGCUAAUACCGGAUAGGAGCUCCUGCUGCAUGGUGGGGGUUGGAAAGUUUCGGCGGUUGGGGAUGGACUCGCGGCUUAUCAGCUUGUUGGUGUGGUAGUGGCUUACCAAGGCUUUGACGGGUAGCCGGCCUGAGAGGGUGACCGGCCACAUUGGGACUGAGGUACGGCCCAGACUCCUACGGGAGGCAGCAGUGGGGAAUAUUGCGCAAUGGGCGGAAGCCAGAUGCAGCAACGCCGCGUGCGGGAUAACGGCCUUCGGGUUGUAAACCGCUUUCGCCUGUGACGAAGCGUGAGUGACGGUAAUGGGUAAAGAAGCACCGGCUAACUACGUG